GUACACGCUGUGACUAGCAUAUCAAUAAGCGGAGGAAAAGAAACUAACAAGGAUUCCCCUAGUAACGGCGAGUGAAGCGGGAAGAGCUCAAAUUUGAAAUCUUAAAGGGUUUCCCUUUACGAAUUGUAGUUUAAAGAAGUGUUUUCUGUUGAGGUUUGGUAAAAGUUCUUUGGAAUAGGACAUCAUAGAGGGUGAGAAUCCCGUAUUUGACCUUUACUUUCAACUUUGUGAUACACUUUCAAAGAGUCGGAUUGUUUGGGAAUGCAGUCCAAAAUGGGUGGUAAAUUUCAUCUAAAGCUAAAUAUUGGCGAGAGACCGAUAGCGAACAAGUACCGUGAGGGAAAGAUGAAAAGAACUUUGAAAAGAGAGUUAAACAGUACGUGAAAUUGUCAAAAGGGAAGCGUUUGACACCAGUGUUGUUUUUCUGAAAAUCAAUUAAAGAACUGUUUAUGCUAAGUUGUUUAGACUUUAUCAGCUAACUGUUUAGUUUUGAGCUUUUCUUUAAUGCACUUUUCAGUUAACAAGUCAACAUCAAUUUCUUUUGCUGUAAAAAAGCUUGAGGAAGGUGGCUUGAGAUUCGUCUUAAGUGUUUAUAGCCUCUUGCCUAUGCAGUCGGAGAGAUUGAGGUCUGCAGCGUAGAUCCUUCGGGGCUAAAUGCAUUUGUGCUAAGUUAUAGCAUUUUAUAGACAACUUGUUGACUAUGAUUUGUCUUGUAGCUUACUCGCUUAUGUUAUUUUACCUACGCUUAGGAUGUUGAAGAUGUAGCACAUCAU
This 773-nucleotide ribosomal RNA is filed under the name uncultured Neocallimastigales. RNAcentral's name for it is "partial large subunit ribosomal RNA". It matches the Rfam family "Eukaryotic large subunit ribosomal RNA", at positions 22 to 635 of the family's 3401-position model. The record is from RNAcentral. Lineage: Eukaryota; Fungi; Neocallimastigomycota; Neocallimastigomycetes; Neocallimastigales.